AUGCAUUGGGAAGAGUUUGGGUGGGUCGCGGUUGAUAUCGGACCUGUAAAUGAAGAAAUUUUCAUCGCAGUGGGCAUAAUUAAUGGUGUGGUGGGGCUUAGUUGCACGCUCGUUGGUCUGCCCAAGGCGAAGGAGUUCACCGUGGUGGACACGCCACUCCUGGAGCGGCUCUUCUUGCUCCUGCCGCCUAAUGGUGUGGUGGGGCUUAGGAUCGCUUGUGCUCCCAACCUGUGGGUGCUCGCCUACCUAGACACAAAGAGCUCGCAUGCUACAGAUUGGUGUCAUCAUCAUUGGGGCACAUCUCUCCGGUCUACAUCUCUCUUGCAACUUGAAAUUAUUCCAUCGACAUUGAUCCAACCAUCAUGUUGUUCUUUGUGA
RNAcentral lists this ribosomal RNA (378 nucleotides) under Triticum aestivum (bread wheat). RNAcentral describes it as "partial small subunit ribosomal RNA". The record is from RNAcentral. Lineage: Eukaryota; Viridiplantae; Streptophyta; Magnoliopsida; Poales; Poaceae.